This is a non-coding RNA of Cordylochernes scorpioides, 71 nucleotides long. The record is from the annotation of a GenBank genome assembly. Lineage: Eukaryota; Metazoa; Arthropoda; Arachnida; Pseudoscorpiones; Chernetidae.
UCCAGGGUAGCCUAGUGGACAUGGCAUGCCCGGUAAGCGGAACAUUGUGGGUUCGAUUCCCAUCCCUGGAC